CCUACGGGAGGCAGCAGUGAGGAAUAUUGGUCAAUGGUCGUAAGACUGAACCAGCCAAGUAGCGUGCAGGAUGACUGCCCUACGGGUUGUAAACUUCUUUUAUGCGGGAAUAAAGUGAGUCACGUGUGCCGUUUUGUAUGUACCUUAUGAAUAAGGAUCGGCUAACUCCGUGCCAGCAGCCGCGGUAAUACGGAGGGUCCGAGCGUUAUCCGGAUUUAUUGGGUUUAAAGGGAGCGUAGGUGGGAUGUUAAGUCAGCUGUGAAAGGCUGUGGCUCAACCGUAGCAUUGCGGUUGAAACUGGCAGGCUUGAGUACGCUGGAGGUAGGCGGAAUUCGUGGUGUAGCGGUGAAAUGCUUAGAUAUCACGAAGAACUCCGAUUGCGAAGGCAGCUUAC
Molecule: ribosomal RNA, 394 nt
Filed under: uncultured bacterium
Lineage: Bacteria
Description: partial 16S ribosomal RNA
Rfam family: Bacterial small subunit ribosomal RNA
Source: RNAcentral